CAGCAGUGGGGAAUUUUGGGCAAUGGGCGAAAGCCUGACCCAGCAACGCCGCGUGAAGGAUGAAAUCCCUCGGGAUGUAAACUUCGCAAGAACGGGAAGAAUAAGUAGGGGACAAUACCCCCUAUGAUGACGGUACCGUUUGUAAGCUCCGGCUAACUCCGUGCCAGCAGCCGCGGUAAUACGGGGGGAGCAAGCGUUGUUCGGAUUUACUGGGCGUAAAGGGCGCGUAGGCGGUCAGCACAAGUCAAUUGUGAAAUCUCCGAGCUUAACUCGGAAAGGUCAACUGAAACUGUGCGACUAGAGUGCGGAAGGGGCAACUGGAAUUCUUGGUGUAGCGGUGAAAUGCGUAGAUAUCAAGAGGAACACCUGCGGCGAAGGCGGGUUGCUGGGCCGACACUGACGCUGAAGCGCGAAAGCCAGGGGAGCGAACGGGAUUAGAUACCCCGGUAGUCCUGGCCUUAAACGAUGAAUGCUUGGUGUCUGGGGUUAUAAAGUCCCCGGGUGCCGUCGCUAACGCUUUAAGCAUUCCGCCUGGGGAGUACGGUCGCAAGACUGAAACUCAAAGGAAUUGACGGGGACCCGCACAAGCGGUGGAGCAUGUGGUUUAAUUCGACGCAACGCGAAGAACCUUACCUGGGCUAGAAUGCCUCUGACAACCCUAGAGAUAGGGCCUCCAAGGUAAAACUUGGCAGAGUGCAAGGUGCUGCAUGGCUGUCGUCAGCUCGUGUCGUGAGAUGUUGGGUUAAGUCCCGCAACGAGCGCAACCCUUAUCUUAGUUGCCAGCAUUAAGUUGGGCACUCUAGAGAGACUGCCGUUGACAAAACGGAGGAAGGUGGGGAUGACGUCAAGUCCUCAUGGCCUUUAUGUCCAGGGCUACACACGUGCUACAAUGGCCGGUACAAACCGCCGCAAACUCGCAAGAGGGAGCCAAUCGGAAAGAGCCGGUCUCAGUUCGGAUUGGAGUCUGCAACUCGACUCCAUGAAGUUG
This 988-nucleotide ribosomal RNA is filed under the name uncultured bacterium. RNAcentral describes it as "bacterial SSU rRNA". It matches the Rfam family "Bacterial small subunit ribosomal RNA", at positions 349 to 1328 of the family's 1533-position model. The record is from RNAcentral.